GUGCUGGCUUUGGAAGCACAUAUACUAAAAUUGGAAUGUUACAGACAGGAUUAGCACAGCCCCUGUGCAAGAAUAACAUGCAAAUUAGUGAAGCAUUCCAUGUUUUU
This is a small nuclear RNA of Heterocephalus glaber (naked mole-rat), 107 nucleotides long. NCBI's taxonomy places the organism in Eukaryota, Metazoa, Chordata, Mammalia, Rodentia, Bathyergidae. The record is from Ensembl.